GGGGACGUAAUGGUUUCGACAGGGAUGCGUGUAUCAUGGAUAGCGAGCCGGCGUUCCAUUAGGCCGUUAAACGGUGGAACCUUUAAAUUAAACGCAAAAGAAAACUUUGCAUUAGCUGCAUAAGCUACGUCUUACCUCUCUUCGCCCGUGAGAGGGGAUAAGGCGUCAAACUACGGGCUGGUUUAACUCACUUGCUCAAAUGAGUUAAAUAAGAUUCCUUGAGCUGGGACAGUGUAGUUUGUCGUUGUACAAUAGCUGUCUGAGAUUUAAAACAGCGACUGCGCUCGGAGAAGUCCUUGGGGCACCGUUUUUGGACAGGGGUUCGAUUCCCCUCGUCUCCACCA
Molecule: transfer-messenger RNA, 344 nt
Filed under: Veillonellaceae
Lineage: Bacteria; Bacillati; Bacillota; Negativicutes; Veillonellales
Also listed under: 1 other name
Description: Veillonella_A magna Standard tmRNA
Rfam family: transfer-messenger RNA
About the family: Bacterial tmRNA, also known as 10Sa RNA or SsrA, is named for its dual tRNA and mRNA-like properties. Its role is to liberate the mRNA from a stalled ribosome.
Source: RNAcentral